This is an RNA transcript of Poecilia reticulata (guppy), 6152 nucleotides long. It is a transcript of the gene named MCF.2 cell line derived transforming sequence a, with no coding region annotated. NCBI's taxonomy places the organism in Eukaryota, Metazoa, Chordata, Actinopteri, Cyprinodontiformes, Poeciliidae. The record is from RefSeq and is a predicted model, not a curated record.
CGCACUAAUGCUCCGGGAGGGGAGGGGAAGAGAGCGGACAGGCAGCCGUGGCCAGAUGGAGCUCUGUUUGUUUUGAAGCAGCUAACUGCUGCUGAGAGCAGGACACACUGUCGACUGGUGUGUAUCAACCAGAGGAGAACAAGACAUCAUCACACCCAGUCGGGGCUGCGACCCGUCAACGAGCUGCUGCUGCUGCUGUGUGUGUUUGUGAUGUAGUCGUGUGUUUCGGCGUGGAGGCUGCAGCUUCAAGGUCGACGACCUUUCAGGGAACGUCAUGGAUCUCUCGUUGUAGCACGUAAAGGUGUCGGUAAAACUUGUGUUAUGGAAGGCCGGACCAGCAAGAAGACGAUGUGAUGGAAGCGGUUGUCCCAGCCUGAUUCUGUGACGGAAGCGGAGGGAAUGGGCCCAGCCUCGCUGCAGGAGGAGAGGGACCUGGCCAAAGAGUCUGCGGAGAUGGAGUGCUACCGCUGCCUCCUGCAGGCCGGCUCCCAGCUGGAGAGCACCCUGCAGCAGGUGACUGUCCCUUUGAGCCUGAAGGAAGUGGGAGGAUAUAUAGAGAAACAAGUUGCAUAUCUGUCAGGAGGGCGCGGGGAAGACUCAAGCGUCAUCAUCACCCUCCCAGAAUGCUCAGCGUUCAGUGACAUUCCAGAGGAAGCUUUAGCCAAAGUCUUUACCUACCUCACCCUCAUCCCUCGAACAAGACAACCAGGAGUUAAAUUUAUCAUCAUCUUAGACCGAAGACUGGAUACAUGGGCCUCUAUCAAAACCGCUCUGGCCAGGAUAGCAGCCUCCUUUCCUGGGAACCUCCACCUGGUCUUGGUGCUCCGACCCACCAGCUUCUUCCACCGUACUGUAACAGAUAUUGGUUUCCGCUUCAGCCAGGAUGACUUCAUGCUCAAGAUGCCAGUGGUGAUGCUGAGUUCUGUCACAGACCUGCUGCGCUACAUUGAUGAAAACCAGCUGACAUCAGAGUUUGGAGGCACUUUGGACUACUGUCACAGUGACUGGAUUGUUUUACGGACGGCCAUUGAAAGUUUUGCCGUGACGGUGAAAGACAUCGCUCAGAUGCUGCAGGGCUUUGGCACCGAGCUGGCAGAGGCAGAGCUGCCGGACGAGGGGAAAGCCAUCGAGCAGCUCCUGGAGACACACACAGAAAAGUACAAAAAGCUCAAGGACGCAAUAAGGUCAGUUUCAAAGGAGGGUCGCCAUCUUCUGUCCAACUUGGAAACAACUGGGAACGAUGAUGAUUCCCAGUGGGAUGUGAAGCUGGACUGGGAGACAGUACAGAGUUCCUCUUUUAGGCUUCUUGCACAGCUCAGAGACAUGGAGUCGGCCUUUGACGGCUUCUUUGAGAAGCAUCAUCUGAAACUACAUCAGUACCUUCAGCUGCUCAGAUACGAGCAAAGCUUUCAGGAGAUGGAAAUGUGUCUUGAACAUCUCAUGCAUCAGGAGAGAGAAUUGUCCGUAAAUGUGAACACUCUGGCUCAAACAGAGCAGCUUCUGAAAAGACUCGACGACAUGGAAACUAAUGCACAGGAAGUGAUGUCUCGAGCCCAGAUCAUCAUCCUCCACGGACACCAGCUGUCAGCGGGUCACCACUACGCCAUGGGGCUCAUCAUGCAGCGCUGCAAUGAGCUCCGCCACCACUGUGACACACUCUCUGCUGCGCUGAAGUCCAAGCACUCUUUUCUGUUGCAAACACACCAACUGCUGCUUUGUCUUGGGCAGGCCCAGACUUGGUGUGACGAUGGGGCGUAUUUGUUAGCAAACCAACUAGUAGACAAGUCCCAGUCCAAGGAGGGCGCCCAGAUGUCUCUGAGGGAAAUUGAGAAGUUCCUGGAGGGGGCGCCGUCUAUGCUGAGCUCAGGUCAUGAUAUUCUGGCUAUUGAAUACGAGGCUGUCAUCACGCCUCAGCUACAGACUCAGAUUGGGAAUGUUUUUGAAAAGCAUGCAGCGGUACAGCAGAUGAUCCAGAACCGACAAGCUUCUUUGAGGAAGCUGGCUGACAGACAUGUGCGGCCGAUCCAGCUGGUGGCCCCCAGACCCGAGAACCAACCUCGCGCCAAGUCACCGCUCUUCUCCCCUAAACACGGUGAUGGCUUGAAGUUCACGUUUGACAUUUCACUUCCUGGCAAGAAAUCAUCCCGGAAAAGUCCAAAUCCCAGAAAAAUCGAGGUGAUUCAUGACUACCAGGAGAGUCGGAGCUGCGUCUCGUACAGUCUGGAUGGAGACGACAGCCCGGAUUUCUUAAAGCGACAUGUAAUGAGGGAACUGAUAGAGACUGAGAGGAUCUAUGUGGAGGAGCUGCUGUCAGUGCUGCUGGGUUACAGAGCUGAAAUGGAUAACCCAGCUCUGUCGGGGCUUCUGCCGCCAACACUACGCAGCAAGAAAGACAUUCUCUUUGGAAACAUGCCUGAGAUCUACAACUUUCACAGCAGAGUUUUCUUACAAGACCUUGAAGGAUGUCUGGAGGCUCCUGAAACUGUCGGAGCUUGUUUUCUCCAGCGGAAGGAAAGCUUCCAGAUGUAUGAGAUGUACUGUCAGAAUAAGCCACGUUCUGAAGCGCUUUGGAGACAAUUCUCAGACUGUGCCUUUUUUCAGGAGUGUCAGAAGAAGCUGGAGCACAAACUGGGCCUGGAUUCCUACCUGCUCAAACCGGUUCAGCGCCUCACAAAAUACCAGCUGCUGCUCAAGGAGCUGCUGAAGUACAGCCCGGAUUGUGAAGGCACUUCUGAACUGCAGGGGGCGCUGACAGCCAUGCUGGAUCUGCUCAAGUCAGUCAACGACUCCAUGCAUCAGAUUGCCAUUACAGGAUACGAGGGGGAGAUCUGCGAGCUGGGCCGUGUGCUGAUGCAGGGCUCUUUCAGCGUGUGGAUCAGCCACAAGAGAGGCCCCACACGCAUGAAGGAGUUGGCUCGCUUCAAGCCAAUGCAGAGACACUUCUUCCUGUAUGAGAGGGCUCUGCUUUUGUGUAAACGCAGAGAGGAUCACGGAGACGGCAGCGACAAGACGCCUUCCUACAGCUUCAAGCACUGUCUGAAGAUGACUGCUGUGGGGAUCACAGAGAAUGUCAAAGGCGACGUGAAGAAGUUUGAGAUCUGGUACAGCGGCAGGGAGGAGGUUUAUGUGGUCCAGGCUCCCACAGUGGAGGUAAAGAUGGCCUGGCUCAAUGAACUCCGUCGAAUUUUGACCAACCAACAGAAGCUGCUUAGAGACGAAGCGUAUCAACACGGCCCAGUGGCCGAACACAUGCAGCUCUCUCCUUCGCUCACUGAGAGCAAACAGCAGAGGGCGUCAGUGAGCUCAGAGGACACUGAGUCGGGGAGGAGCAGCCCAGAGGCCCAGUCUCACUCCCCUAAACACCAGCCGAACCGUCGGACAGUUCAGGUGUACUUUGACCUGAAGAACCAGGUACAUCGAGGACUUUGUGGGAAAAAGCUACUGAGAUUAGCUUUUGAUUCUACAUUCGUUUUAAUGUCCCAGUUGGCCCGGAGCUCAUCACUCGGUAGACAUAUGCGAGGGUCUGGAGGAGUGGCCUGGAGAUCAGGACGCCUUCCUCCCACCUGAGACGGAGGAGAAAAAAAUGGUCAAACUGACUCCAGGCAAGUACAGAGCUGUGGCUGACUGUCCCCAAAACGGACCAGGCAGCAUCAUCAUCAAACGCGGAGAUGUCAUCCAUCUACAAUGUGAAGACAACAGGGGGCGCUGGCUUGUGAAAAAUCUGAGUCGGCAGCAGGAGGGCUUCAUAGCAGCUGCCAGCCUGCAGCUCAUUAUAGGAAGCAGCAGCCACGAGCGCUCUCCCAGACUGGGAGACCGCGGGAACCUAAAGGUGAGAAAGCUGAGCUCCCCAUAGAGAACACAGAACAGAGGAUGAAUCUCAUGCUGGAUGAUGAGCAGAGGUGGAGCAGACUGAGUCAUCGCUGUCUCACAGCUGAGGCUGCCAAUAUCUCCUCUCCUCUUAGAGGCUGCUUCCUUCAGCACACUUCACUUCUUUAAAAGAAGAGGCAGAAUCAAGUGAGCCGAUUUCCUCCCUCGGUUUUUAUUUUCGACCUCCUGAACAGACGUUUUCUGCUCAUAAGGAUCAGAGUAGAUAUCACCUCAAAGCCACAGGAGAAGUUAAAGCCCUACUGGACAAUCAACGGUUGACCUGGCUCACGUUCUUCCCACUUUUUGAUGGGUGAUGAUAACUCUUGUUGUUCCGGCGCUUCCUCUGCAACAUAUGCAGUCAGCAUGUGAGUUUGCCACUGCAGCAGUGUCUCAUGUGACAAACUGUGGACUCAGUGUUUCCCAGUAAAUACUUGAGGUUGGCUCUAGGAGCUUGUCUUUCUGCUUUGUUUCAAAAGGAUGAAAGCCAGGAUUUAAUCCUUAAACUGUUUUACAAAUUGCAUCCUUUUUUAAAAAAACUUUUAAUGAAUUUCAUGUUCAUGUCUGUGUAAAAUAUUAUUUUUUCCUCAUGUCGCCACUCUUCUGUACAGUUAAGAGUUUAAAUGCCAAAACGUGCCAUGCCUUAUUGCCUUUUUAUUCCUGCUCUUUUAAAGUCUUUCUAUGUACUUUUUCUUGGUUCUAUCUGACCUCACAAGACAUCAUCAGGCACUUUAAAAAGGUGGCUUUGUUAUGUUUCAAGGCCAUUUAUCAUCAUUGCUGCAUUUAGGCUUGUAGCUCAUGAUAGAUAUUAUUCUCUCAAAUUGAGAACUAUGAAAGUAAAGCAAAAACGAAAUAAGAAUGCAGUUAAAAGUUGCUGAAGAUGGAUGAUGCUAUGGUUUAAUGCCAAAGGCAGGUGCCACUGCAUGACCCAGUGACCACCCAAAGGGAAAGUGGAGAGAGUAAUGUGAGUUCAUGAAGUCAAGAUCUGUUUGCCGAUUUGUAAAGUUACGAGGAGGAAAUAGAAUGACAUGUUGUCUGGGAGUUUGUAACUUGGAGACUUAGCAAACCUUAGCAAAACGUAUCGAAGUAGAAAUGCUUCCAGAUAUUUUAAACUGCUUUUUGGUUUUCAUAAAAGUGUGUUUUAAAUGUACUUAUCCCAUUUGAAAACCAAUGUAAAAGCUCACUGUGAUUUAUUUUUUUAUUCUUUCAACAUUUUUAGGUAUUCCAGCCAUAAACUUUGUUGAUCUUUGGCCUUUAACUCCAAAUCCACCUGCUCUCUACUGAAUGUGCUCUUUGCUUGCUGCUUUACCUCUUUCACUGUGUUUCCGUUAUUCUUGCUGUGUUUCUUUGUUUACCCCUAAGUGUCUGAGGGAUUGGGAAUGCAGGGGAUACAUUACCCCCCUGCAUGGACGCCAGCAGUUGGCACUUGAAGGAGGAUAUUGUAAGACACUGAUUAACACGAUAGAGACCAGAGGUAACGUGUUCCUUGGAUUUACUGAAGAUUUCCUGAGAGGUGACUGUCAUUCACAGCACAGACGAGAAGGAUGGAGAGAAAACGAUGCUGCGCUCAAUCAACAGAAGAAAAAUGAAUCCUCUCUCAGCAUUAUAGCUCAGUAACUCUUUCCUUCCCCGUUAAAAGGGAUCCCUUAGAACCAACAUGAAAUUUAUAUGCUUUGUGUUGAACACUUAAUUAAAUAUUGAUUACAGACUUAUACGAUUUAUCACAUCAAAUUGAGUGGCUGCGAUAGGCUGUUGUUGAAAUGGGAACGGGUCCAGAAAGUGGCAGUGACUGCUGCACACCUCGCACCUCCUCAAGAGGUAAUUUCUUUAUUUUCCUGUCAUAUUGUGAAGUAUCUGUUCAUUCCUAAGGAAAUCACACCUCCAUAUGUUUAAAGAAGCUAUGCAUAACUAUUUAGACAUUUAGUUAAAGUGAUGGGACAAUAUCAAGAUGGUUUUCCUUUUUUUUUCAUCCAAAAUGCUGCACAAUUUGCACAGAUGUCGCUACAGAAGGCAAAAAAGUUGCUUGAAUCCUGCUGAGCCAUGUAACAUACGCUUGUUGCUGAACAUUUUGUUUUUAUACUGAAAAUGCAUGGCAGUUGGACAUUUUAUUUAAUUUUGUUUUUUAAAAUGUCUUUGGUUCUUUUAAAAGUAAUCUAAUAAUAUUAACAUAUACACUGCAAUAACAGUUUUUAGGGUAGCCGAAUUUCAUUGUUAACACAGUGGAUGUAAACUAACAUGUCUGUCUUCUUGUUCAGAAAAACAUGUAAAUAAAUCUAUCCUGGAUAUUU